GGCCCGCACAAGCGGUGGAGCAUGUGGUUUAAUUCGAUGAUACGCGAGGAACCUUACCAGGGCUUAAAUGCAGAACGACAGAGGUGGAAACACCUCCUUCUUCGGACGGUCUGCAAGGUGCUGCAUGGUUGUCGUCAGCUCGUGCUGUGAAGUGUCGGGUUAAGUCCCAUAACGAGCGCAACCCCUAUUUCUAGUUGCCAGCGGUUCGGCCGGGGACUCUAGAGAAACUGCCAGCGUAAGCUGUGAGGAAGUGGGGAUGACGUCAAAUCAUCACGGCCCUUACGUCCUGGGCUACACACGUGCUACAAUGGUAGGGACAGAGAGUUGCCAACCCGCGAGGGUGAGCUAAUCUUCAAACCCCUAUCUCAGUUCGGA
RNAcentral lists this ribosomal RNA (375 nucleotides) under uncultured bacterium. RNAcentral describes it as "bacterial SSU rRNA". It matches the Rfam family "Bacterial small subunit ribosomal RNA", at positions 918 to 1297 of the family's 1533-position model. The record is from RNAcentral.